AGGGAAGUGAUGACAUCUGUGACUGCUGACAUGACACUGAUCUCUGUCGUAUUCGUACUGGCUGAUCCCA
This 70-nucleotide small nucleolar RNA is filed under the name Nannospalax galili (Upper Galilee mountains blind mole rat). Lineage: Eukaryota; Metazoa; Chordata; Mammalia; Rodentia; Spalacidae. The record is from RNAcentral.